This 601-nucleotide ribosomal RNA is filed under the name uncultured sediment bacterium. RNAcentral describes it as "bacterial SSU rRNA". It matches the Rfam family "Bacterial small subunit ribosomal RNA", at positions 880 to 1497 of the family's 1533-position model. The record is from RNAcentral.
GUACGGUCGCAAGAUUAAAACUCAAAGGAAUAGACGGGGACCCACACAAGCGGUGGAGCAUGUGGUUUAAUUCGACACUAAACGGGGAACCUUACCGAGGCUUGACAUCUCCGGAACUCGAUAGAAAUAUUGAGGUGCCGCAAGGAACCGGAUGACAGGUGCUGCAUGGUCGUCGUCAGCUCGUGCCUUGAGGUGUUCGGUUAAGUCCGUAAACGAGCGCAACCCAUGUCCUAUGUUGCAUUUUUCAUAGGAGACUGCCGGCUCCAAGUCGGAGGAAGGUAUGGAUGACGUCAGAUCAGCAUGGCCCUUAUGUCUCGGGCCACACACGUGCUACAAUGGCCGGUACAAUGGGCAGCAAACCCGUAAGGGGGAGCGAAUCUCAUCAAAGCUGGUCUCAGUUCGGAUUGAGGGCUGCAAUUCGCCCUCAUGAAGUUGGAAUCGCUAGUAACCGUGAAUCAGGCAUGUCACGGUGAAUAUGUUCCUGGGUCUUGUACUCACCGCCCGUCAUAUCAUGAAAGGUGGGGGUACCCGAAGUCGCCUUAGUCCUUCGGGACGGGUGCCUAAGGUAAACUCACUGAUUGGGAUAAAGUCGUAACAAGGU